RNAcentral lists this ribosomal RNA (544 nucleotides) under uncultured bacterium. RNAcentral's name for it is "bacterial SSU rRNA". It matches the Rfam family "Bacterial small subunit ribosomal RNA", at positions 777 to 1319 of the family's 1533-position model. The record is from RNAcentral.
AAUAGAUACCCUGGUAGUCCACGCCGUAAACGAUGAGUGCUAAGUGUUAGGGGGUUUCCGCCCCUUAGUGCUGCAGCUAACGCAUUAAGCACUCCGCCUGGGGAGUACGGUCGCAAGACUGAAACUCAAAGGAAUUGACGGGGGCCCGCACAAGCGGUGGAGCAUGUGGUUUAAUUCGAAGCAACGCGAAGAACCUUACCAGGUCUUGACAUCCCAUUGACCACUAUGGAGACAUAGUUUUCCCUUCGGGGACAACGGUGACAGGUGGUGCAUGGUUGUCGUCAGCUCGUGUCGUGAGAUGUUGGGUUAAGUCCCGCAACGAGCGCAACCCUUGUUCUUAGUUGCCAUCAUUUAGUUGGGCACUCUAAGGAGACUGCCGGUGACAAACCGGAGGAAGGUGGGGAUGACGUCAAAUCAUCAUGCCCCUUAUGACCUGGGCUACACACGUGCUACAAUGGACGGUACAAACGGUUGCCAACCCGCGAGGGGGAGCUAAUCCGAUAAAACCAUUCUCAGUUCGGAUUGUAGGCUGCAACUCGCCUAC